CUGUCAUAAAUCCAUUGUAAAUGUUUGUUUUUGUUAUUUUGUGGGAAGAACUUAAUGUGUAUGUAGACAUAUGCCGCAGUCACAUUAUACUGACUCAUUCUCUGUGGUAUUGUUUUAGUGCUCCCAAUCAAAAGAGGGAAUGUUCAUUUUCUAAAUUCCAUAAAUUACGUGUAGUUCUUCAACAAGUCAGCAGGGGGCUCUAGAAUCUAACUAUAAAUGUGCUACAGAAACUGGAACAGACAGUGCCAUGAAGUCCUGUGCAAAAUCGAGUUACUUUCAAAGAGGAAUUAAUUUUGGUUUCAGCAGUAUUUCCCCUGACAAUUACAGCAUAGUUGCUAAGAGAAUCCUUGUAUCGAGACUCACCAUGAAGGGUUGCUUACAAACUCAACUGUUCUUGAAGCAAGUUUGGAAUUUCAAUUAUGGUAACAAAAAAUGCCAUUGUCCCAGAGGACCAGAGUGUUACUCUCUCAUUAGAGAGAGAUGGCUGAUGCUGGAUUUAACCUGAGGGUCACUACAACUCAGGUGAGCAGUGAAGCAGGUCCUAUGUGGUGAGCUCAGCUGGUGCGAGAAUUGUCGGCAUCACUCUGACUCUACAUGACCAAAAAUGGUCUAAAGGAAUUCAAUUUUUCUGUAUUGUUCAGCGUCUUAUCCAGCCUAGCUGGAAUGAUACUCUCCCUGAGUUACCUGAAUAUAAUAAAUAUAAACUUGCACUCA
Molecule: long non-coding RNA, 714 nt
Organism: Stegostoma tigrinum
Lineage: Eukaryota; Metazoa; Chordata; Chondrichthyes; Orectolobiformes; Stegostomatidae
Exons: 3
Source: RefSeq, a predicted model, not a curated record